UAGCAACAUUGAAUUAUUCUAAUUAAUGAAACAAAAAAAAAGGCUUCUAACUUUUUUA
This 58-nucleotide transfer RNA is filed under the name Platerodrilus sp. UPOL VP2316. RNAcentral describes it as "partial tRNA-Ser". The record is from RNAcentral. Lineage: Eukaryota; Metazoa; Arthropoda; Insecta; Coleoptera; Lycidae.